AUCUACAAGCUUGGUGGUAUUGACAAGCGUGUGAUUGAGAGGUUUGAGAAGGAGGCUGCUGAGAUGAACAAAAGGUCAUUUAAGUAUGCAUGGGUGCUUGACAAGCUUAAGGCCGAACGUGAACGUGGUAUUACCAUCGAUAUUGCCCUCUGGAAGUUUGAGACUACCAAAUACUACUGCACAGUCAUUGAUGCCCCUGGACACCGUGACUUCAUCAAGAACAUGAUUACUGGUACCUCACAGGCUGACUGUGCUGUUCUCAUUAUCGACUCGACCACUGGUGGUUUCGAAGCUGGUAUCUCAAAGGAUGGUCAGACACGUGAGCAUGCUUUGCUUGCGUUUACCCUUGGUGUCAAGCAGAUGAUUUGCUGCUGCAACAAGGUAAGGUUUAGAACGUGUUGGAGUUUAUUGUUAGAUUGUAUUGAUGUUCUUUUUAUUAAUAAUUGAAUUUCAAUUAUCAUCUUGUACAGAUGGAUGCAACAACUCCAAAAUACUCCAAGGCAAGGUAUGAUGAAAUUGUGAAGGAAGUCUCCUCAUAUCUUAAGAAAGUUGGUUACAACCCUGACAAGAUCCCAUUUGUCCCAAUCUCUGGAUUUGAGGGUGAUAACAUGAUUGAGAGGUCUACCAACCUUGACUGGUACAAGGGUCCCACUCUCCUUGAGGCUCUUGACCAGAUCAAUGAGCCCAAGAGGCCUUCAGACAAGCCACUUUGGCUCCCACUUCAGGAUGUCUACAAGAUUGGUGGCAUUGGAACUGUACCUGUUGGUCGUGUUGAGACUGGUGUCCUUAAGCCUGGUAUGGUUGUGACCUUUGGCCCCUCUGGUCUGACCACUGAAGUUAAGUCUGUUGAGAUGCACCAUGAAGCCCUCUCUGAGGCUCUCCCCGGUGACAAUGUUGGAUUCAACGUCAAGAACGUUGCUGUUAAGGAUCUCAAGCGUGGUUUCGUUGCUUCAAACUCUUAAGGAUGAUCCUGCAAAGGAGGCUGCCAGCUUCACCUCUCAGGUCAUCAUCAUGAACCACCCUGGGCAGAUUGGAAACGGAUAUGCCCCAGUCCUUGACUGCCAUACCUCCCACAUUGCUGUGAAAUUUUCUGAAUUGCUGACCAAGAUCGACAGGCGAUCUGGAAAGGAGCUUGAGAAGGAGCCCAAGUUCUUGAAGAAUGGUGAUGCAGGGAUGAUAAAGAUGGUUCCCACCAAGCCGAUGGUUGUGGAGACUUUCUCUGAGUACCCACCUCUUGGACGGUUUGCGGUCAGGGACAUGCGUCAGACUGUGGCUGUUGGUGUCAUCAAGAGCGUUGAGAAGAAGGAUCCAACCGGUGCUAAGGUCACCAAAUCUGCUGCCAAGAAGAAAUGAGAUUGCAUUUGAUAGUAUCAGAGCCUUUUGAUUUUGGUUUUCUAUGUAGUCUGGUACUUUACAGUUUUUUAGACCAAUUUUGAUAUGUGUUCAUUUGGUUGAGACUGGCAUCUGCCUACGGAUUGUGUGUUUGCUUUUUCCGUGUCAAUUGUAGUUGAAUUCCUUCAAAGAAUUCUAGUUUGAUAUUUCCUUGUUUUCUUAAUGUUAUGAUGGUCCUAAGCCUUCGAUUUUCAACUAAUUUCCUGGCCAAUUCAGGUUUUUAAUGAUAAAUUAGUGAAAUACUAUUUUGGUAAUUAUAAAAUCAUCUUUCAAUUUACGUAAAGAAAAGAAAUUUUUUAAUGAUGUGUGAUUUGUAUCAAGAAAUAUAUGGACGAAUAGCAUAUUAAAGUUCAUAAAUUAGAAUUUCUAAAUUCGUAAAAUACAAUAUUUUAACUGGAAGCCAAAAAUGGUCUUAAUUUAGAUCAUCGUUGGUUUGAAAAUUUUAAGAUUUGUUAUAUUUAAAUUGUAAGAUUUGUUAUAUUUGUUUUUCAAUAUCAUGCUUUCAUUAAAGAAAGAGAAAGGUACAUAGAAGGUCCACCAAUCCAAAAGCCCAAAAAUUUACAAAAGUCCGAAGCUCAAUUACCAAUCAAGAAAACCUAGUAACAAACAUCAAAGUCACUGUUGUUGGAGAAGAAUGCUUGGGAAGGUCGGAAGUCACCAGCAAAGACGGAUGUAUCUUUCAACGGCAUGUGACGCCUCCAGAGGAAGGUCAUCAAGGACUUUCAUCAAUGAAACUUUCCGUACCUUUUUUACUAUCUUAUAUUAUAGGGUAUUCUAGGGGACUUCAUCAAGGACUUCCACCUUUUAAAGUUUUCUUUAUAUUGAAGAGAAGUUUCUAAUAUAUGUAUAUAUGUGUGUGGGGAGGGGUCCAUUUAUACUAGUGUAAAACUUAAGUGAUUUUGCUUUUUUGUAACUUUUUACAUUAGUAAUAUUUUAACAAUUCAACCAUCAUAUUUCAUGAUCCAUUCAUAUAGAUAAUGCAUGUUAAGUUUGGUAUAAAUUAAAAAUGAGAUGAGAAAUUGCCCUUAUACUUUACCAAAUCUUCCAAUAUGGUACCUGCACUUUUAAUUUGUCCAAUUUGGUACAUGUACUUCAGUCUCCUUAAUCAUAGUGGUACUUGACCCUAACACUAUUAAAAAAUGAUGAAAUGAUAUCUUGACCAAUUAUGUGGUGCCACGUGGCUCAUGUUGAUUCAUUGACUAACAGUUCAAGGGCUUCUGUGCAAUAAAUCCUAAAAUUAUUCUCUUUCCCAAAUUACAUUUUCACAAUACUUUAUAUAUGUGUAUAUAUGUAUAUAUAUGUGUGAGGGGAGGGGUCCAUUUAUACUAGUGUAAAACUUAAGUGAUUUUGCUACCAGUCAAGAAAACCUAGCAACAAACGUCAAAGUCACUGUUGCUGGAGAAGAAUGCUUGGGAAGGUCAAAAGUCACCAGCAAAGACGGAUGUAUCUUUCAACGGCAUGUGACACAUCCAGAGGAAGGUCAUCAAGGACUUGCAUUGUAAUAUCCUGAAUUAGGGCUUAAUCGGAAUAGUAGUUUCGUGACCACAAAUUUGAGAUAGAAAUAAUAAUUUUAUAAUUAUUUUAAUGAUUAUGAUAUGAUUGCAUGAUUGUGUGAAAUUUUCGUGAUGAAAUUCUAUGCCUAAAGUGCUUAAAUUGAAAGUAGGGACUAAAUCGAAUAAGUUGCAAAACUUGCAUUCUAGAAGUUUGUAGUAUGAAAUUGUUUUGGAAUAUUAAUGAGGAGGUAUUAAAUAGCAAUUUGACCAAUUUUAAGUUCAUGGACAAAAUUAGGACAUGGAAGGAAUUUUUAGAAAGUUUAGUAGUAAGGGUAUUUUGGUCAUUUAGUUAUUAAAAUGAAUUAAAAACAAAAUUAAAAGCCAAUUUUUGUCCAUCUUCUUCAUUAGGCCGAAAUUUCAAGGGUUCUCCAUAGCUAGGGUUUGUUUCAAGCUUCCAAGCUCCAUAGUAAGUGAUUCCAAGCCCCGUUUUUAAUGUUCUUUACGUUUUUGGAAUCCCGGUAGCUCGAUUAAGCUUAUGUUAGCAAUAAUUCAACCUAGGGUUUAUAUUUGGAAAAAUACCCAUAGGUGAAAUUUUUGUAUUUUGAUGUUUUAUGAUAGAAUAUGGGGUUUUAAAUUAUGUUAGACAACUUGUACUACUCGAUUUUAAGCAAAAACGAGUAAAAGGGCUUAAUCGGUAAAAAUACCUAAUAGUCACAAGUACAUGUUAGAGUGAGAAUUUGAUGUUGCCAUAGAAGAGAAAAGUGAUCAGCAUGUUGUAAAACAUAAGAAUAAGGAAUAAAGUUUAAUCCCAAGCCUAGGGGCAAAAGUGUAAAUAUGCAAAAGUUUAGGGGCAAAAUUGUAAUUUUGCCAAAAUUUGAGUUAAGGAUUAAUUUGAUAAUGUGAGUAUUAAAUGAGCUAAAUGUGUUAUUUUAGAUCAAGAAAGACGUGGAAUCGACCUCAAUUGAGGAAAAGAAAAAAUUGUGGACUAAAUUGCAAAAUCUUUGUAUUUUGGUACCAAGGUAAGUUCAUGUGUAAAUAAUAGCAUAAUUGUUAUUUUUAAGUUAUUGAUAUUAAUUAUGUGUUAUGCUGAAUUUCAUUAUGAAAUGUAUGCUUUGUGGUUAAUUUCAAAUAAUAUGUAAAUUAUGUGAGCUACUUGUUAAAUAUAAUUGUUACCGAGUAUUGAUUUCGGCAUUCUACGGAAGACGGCAAGGAUAAGUGUUCAAGAAAAAUCCCGUUUGAACCUUAGGAAUAGAUUAGGAUACAAGUGACAUGUCACUAGGAUGGUUGAGCAUCCGAACUCGUUGAGUUGAGUCCGAGUUCACUUAUGGAUGCGAAUGUCCGAACUCGUUGAGUUGAGUCCGAGUUCGUGAGAUGUAACUAGGCAUCCGAACUCAUUGAGUUGAGUCCGAGUUCACUUAUGGAUGCGAACGCCCGAGCUCGUUGAGUUGAGUCCGAGUUCGCUUAUGGGCGGGUUACAUGAUUGCUUGAUUGAAUAUGUGGCACUUAUAUGCAAAUUAUCCAUGUAUCCGAAUUAUAUUCCGAUGUGUUCAACGGGUAACGUUUUACUCACAUGGAGGAAUACUCGAGAUGAAAAGAGACGUAUUGGUAAGUAAUGAGAAAUGGAUAUUUUGGACAGGUAUGUAUUUAACCCUCGGGUUGAGUGUUGAUUACAACCACGAUAAGGUAAUAAGAUGAUGAAAAAUGAUUAAAAAAAUGUGAUAAGUGUGUUGAUGAUAUAUGCUAAUGUUGAUUAGUUUGAUUGUUUGUUAUGUUAUUUAUUAUUUACAUAUGAACUUACUAAGCAAUUAUGCUUAUUCCCUCCUUCUUACUCAUUGUAGUUUUGGACAAGCCAGUUCAGGAGUCGGGAUAGGUCGAAGGCUCAGUCACACUAUCAGGAAGAUUUUUGGUAAAUGGCUUGUAAAUUUAAGUAUGGCAUGUAUAGCAAUAUACUUAUUUUGUGUAAAUGAUUUUAUGAUAUGGUGACAGAAUGGUUGAGAAUAUAUUUGAUAAUGAUAAAUUAUGAAAAUGGUAAGUUUAGAUUAUGUUUGAUGUUAAGGAAAAUUAUUAAGAUACUUAGUGCAUAAAAACUCAUAAGAGGGAUGAAAUUUGCCAUAAACAGAAUACUGCAGCAACACUGACGCGAGUUUGAAAAUUUACUAAAAAGCAUAGAAAUUGAAUUUGGUGAUGGACUACAUAUCAAAUUGAAGCUAUUAUGUCUAGUUUCACAUGAAAUAAAUGAAACAGGUAAAGGAAUUAUAUGUUAGAAGAUAUUUGAAUUUUAGUGAAACAGGGUCAUAGCAGUUUCUGAAUCCCCUGUUCCUACUUUAGAAAUUCACCAUAAAUUGUAAAGAUAUAAUUAGGUGGUGUAUUUUAUAUCCUCAGAAUCCUUAUUGAGUCUAGUUUUAGGAGAAACAAAUCUCAUAGUCAUAUGAAUUUUUUACAGAGAGAAAAGUGGUUCGUAGUAAACAGAGGUCAGACCAGUCAAGUCCUGAAACAGGGGUAACUUUAACUAAUAAACUGUACUAAUUGGCCCAACCAAAAAUUUUAUAAAAAAAUUAGUAGAUAGGUAUAUGAGUCUAGAUUCAGGGAAAAUUUACGGAUCUUGAUUUUGAGUUUCGUAACUCGAGAUAUGAUUUUUCUUGUGACUGUGACGCAAGUAGCUUAAAAGCUGUGAAUGUAGAAACAAAUAAUCCAAAGUUCUAAAAAUGUUAAAUUAAGCUUAGUAACACCUCAAACUCGACUCCGGCGACGGUCUCGGGCGUGGGGGCGUUACAUUUAGUGGUUUCAGAGCAGGUUUAGUCGAUUCUCGGACUACGUGUUGUAUGUACGGAUUUUGCUAUACAUGCCAUAUGUAUAAAUUUUGAUAGUGUGACGACUUCUGACCUUUUUAAAUGAUUUUUUUAUAGUAAAUGGAUCCCGAUCCAGCUGUGGCAGAUGAAGUAGAGAGUAAUGCGCCAGCUCUGGCUGAAGGGGCAGCGCCGACUGAAAACCCACCUCCUACUGUUGGUCAGGGAAGAGGAGAAAGGGAUCGGGAAGCCUUUCUCCAAAUGAUGAGUGCAUGGUACACUGAGUUCGUUCGAACGAACCCAAAUGUACGACCUCCCCCACCUCCCCCAAUUCCUCAACCUGUACCCCCGAUGCCUCAAGGUAUGGAUCUGAUGAAAUUUCACAGAACUCCAGUUGAUAGAAUUCGCAAGCAAGGGGCCGAAGAAUUUAAAGCAAAUAUUGAUGAUGAUGCCGAGAGAGCAGAGUUCUGGCUUGAAAAUUCAAUCCGGGUAUUUGACGAAUUAUCUUGUACACCUGAAGAAUGUUUGAAAUGUGCUACAUCUUUGUUAAGAGAUUCAGCCUAUAAUUGGUGGAAGACUUUGAUUUCGGUGGUACCGAACGAGAGGGUAACCUGGGAAUUCUUUCAAGAAGAGUUUCGGAAGAAAUAUAUUAGUGAAAGAUUUAUUGAUCAGAAAUGUAAAGAGUUUCUUGAGCUGAAGCAAGGUAAUAUGACAGUCUCAGAAUAUGAAAGAGAGUUUGUUCGAUUGGGUAAGUAUGCCAGGGAAUAUGUUCCUACAGAAGCCAAGAUGUGCCAACGAUUUGAAGACGGGCUCAACGAAGACAUUAAGGUAUUUGUUGGGAUCCUUGAACUGAAAGAAAUGGUAGUACUGGUUGAUCGAGCUUGUAAGGCUGAAGAACUACUGAAGGAAAAGAAAGAGGUAGAAUCUGAAACACGAAAUUGGAAGAAAAGACCAAUGAGUAAUGCACCUUCACAGCAACCCGGAAAGUCAAGAAAUAUGAAUCCUCAUUCCCAAGUUUCAGCUGGGCAAUCAUAUGGAAAUUUUAAGAAGCAGAAUGUGGGUCCUAAAUCUCAGACUACUUCUGCGGCUAGUGUGGGAAAUACGAGAUUUGUUAAACCCGAGUGCCAGCGGUGUGGUAGAAAUCAUUUUGGUCCAUGCAGAGCAAAUGAAUGUUUUCGAUGUGGUUCUCCGGAUCAUUUUAUUAGAGACUGCCCAGAGAGAGAGAUGAGAAAGAAAAAUUUUAGAAUGUAAAAUCUAGUGGUGCAGACUCGAGGGGAAGGUAUCCGAGAAAAGCUGAAAGUGAAACAAGCAGUAAGAAUGUAGCCAGAGAUACAACAGUUAGAUCUGAAGGAAGAGCUCCAGCUACAACUUAUGCUAUUAAAGCGCGUGAAGAUGCUUCCUCACCCGAUGUGAUUACCGGUACAUUUUCUCUUUAUGAUACUAAUGUUAUUGCUUUGAUUGAUCCCGGUUCUACUCAUUCAUAUGUAUGCAUAAAAUUGGUGUCUAGUAUGAAUAUACCUGUUGAGAACACAGAAUUUAUGAUUAGAGUGUCGAAUCCACUAGGCAAAUGCGUGAUAGCUGAUAAAGUAAGUAAGAAAUGCCCUUUAAUGAUUCGGGGUCAUUACUUUUCGGCCAACUUGAUGUUGUUGCCGUUUGAUGAAUUUGAUGUUAUUUUGGGUAUGGAUUGAUUGACAUUGCAUGAUGCUAUAAUAAAUUGCAAAGAAAAGGUUAUAGAAUUAAAGUGUGAAAGUGGUGAAAUUCUGCGGGUUGAGCCAGACAAAUCAGAGGCAUUAUCUAGUAUGAUUUCUUCGAUGUCGGCUCAGAGAUAUUUGAGAAAGGGUUAUGAAGCUUAUUUGGCGUAUGUAAUUAAUACAAAAGAAGUUGAAAAAAAAGUUGAAUCAGUGCCGGUUGUGUGUGAAUUUGCAGACGUAUUUCCAGAAGAAUUACCAGGUUUGCCUCCAGUCAGGGAAGUAGAAUUUGGUAUAGAUUUGAUACCGGGAACAGCUCCGAUCUCGAUUGCUCCAUAUAGAAUGGCACCAACAGAGUUGAAAGAAUUAAAGUCGCAGUUGCAAGAGUUGACUGAUAAAGGCUUUGUGAGAUCGAGUUUUUCACCUUGGGGUGCUCCCGUGUUAUUUGUGAAAAAGAAGGAUGGUUCUAUGAGAUUAUGUGUUGAUUAUCGGCAGUUAAACAAGGUGACAAUCAAAAACAAGUAUCCGUUGCCGAGAAUUGAUGAUUUGUUUGAUCAGCUAAAAGGAGCAACAUGGUUUUCAAAGAUUGACUUGAGAUCUGGGUAUUAUCAGCUGCGAGUAAAAGAGUCAGAUGUGCCUAAAACUGCUUUUAGAACAAGGUACGGUCAUUAUGAAUUUUUAGUUAUGCCGUUCGGGUUGACAAAUGCUCCUGCUGUGUUUAUGGACUUAAUGAAUCGCAUAUUUCGGCCAUACCUGGACAGAUUUGUUGUGGUGUUUAUAGAUGAUAUUUUAAUUUAUUCAAAAGAUGAGACAGAGCAUGCUGAGCAUUUGAGGAUAGUUUUGCAAACUUUGAGAGAUAAGCAGCUGUAUGCUAAGUUUAGUAAAAGUGAAUUUUGGCUCCGGAAAGUUGGAUUUUUGGGUCAUAUUGUUUCAGGUGAUGGUAUACGGGUUGAUCCUAGUAAAAUUUCAGCCAUUGUUGAUUGGAAACCACUGAAAAACGUAACUGAAGUUAGAAGUUUCUUGGGGCUAGCUGGGUAUUAUCGGCGGUUCGUAAAUGGAUUUUCUAUAAUUGCUGCUCCUAUGGCUAGACUACUCCGAAAGGAUGUUAAAUUUGAAUGGACGGAAGAAUGUCAACAGAGUUUCGAAGAAUUGAAAAAGUUAUUAACUGAAGCACCAGUGUUGAUACAACCCGACUCAGGUAAAGAAUUUGUGGAGUAUAGUGAUGCUUCUCUAAAUGGUUUGGGGUGUGUACUAAUGCAAGAAGGAAAAGUGGUGGCUUAUGCUUCGAGACAGUUAAAACCUCAUGAGAACAAUUAUCCUACUCACGAUUUGGAAUUGGCUACGGUGGUGUUUGCUUUGAAGAUUUGGCGACAUUAUUUGUAUGGUGAAAAGUGCCGAGUAUAUACCGAUCACAAAAGUCUUAAAUACUUGAUGUCACAAAAAGACUUGAAUUUGAGACAGCGAAGAUGGUUAGAGUUAUUGAAAGAUUACGAGCUUGUUAUUGAUUAUCAUCCGGGGAAAGCGAAUGUGGUUGCCGAUGCUUUAAGCAGAAAGUUGUUGUUUUCUUUGAGAGUUAUGAACACUCAGUUGAAAAUUUCAGAUGACGGUUCGAUUCUAGCAGAGUUAAGAGCAAGACCGAUGUUUUUACAAGAGAUUUUUGAAGCUCAUAAAAAUGAUCAAGAUUUGCUAGCCAAAAGAAAACAGUGUGAAGCUGAUACGGGAUCAGAUUUCAGAAUCGGUUCUGAUGGUUGUUUGAUGUUUAAAAAUCAGAUUUGUGUACCGAAAAAUGAUGAGUUGAUUCAAAAGAUUUUGCAUGAAGCACAUAAUAGUUGUUUAGCAGUUCAUCCGGGCAGUACGAAGAUGUAUAAUGACUCGAAGAAAAUGUACUGGUGGAGUGGAAUGAAAAGAGAUAUUUCCGAGUUUGUAUCAAAGUGCUUAGUUUGUCAACAAGUGAAAGCUGAACACCAGGUACCUUCGGGAUUACUUCAGCCUAUUAUGGUUCCUGAAUGGAAAUGGGAUUGGAUUACUAUGGAUUUUAUAUCAGGGUUGCCGUUAACUCUAGGGAAGAAAAAUGCCAUUGGGCAAUAGUUGACAGACUGACUAAAUCGGCUCAUUUUAUUCCGAUACGUACAAAUUAUUCUCUUAAUAAGUUAGCUGAAUUGUAUAUCCGAGAGAUUGUUAGACUUCAUGGGAUACCUCUGUCAAUCAUUUCGGAUAGAGAUCCGAGGUUUACCUCACGGUUUUGCAAAAAGUUGCAAGAAGCAUUAGGUACAAAGUUAAAUUUCAGCACUGCCUUUCAUCCACAAACUGAUGGACAAUCAGAGAGAGUAAUUCAGAUUCUUGAAGACAUGCUCAGAUGUUGCGUAUUGAAAUUUCAAGAUAGUUGGGAAAGGUACUUACCAUUGGUAGAAUUUGCUUAUAAUAAUAGUUAUCAGACAAGUUUGAAGAUGGCACCUUAUGAAGCAUUAUAUGGUCGUAAAUGUCGGACGCCAUUGUAUUGGACUGAACUCAAGGAAAGUCAGAUUUAUGGAGUUGAUUUAAUAAAAGAAACCGAAGAAAAGGUGAAAGUGAUUCGAUAUUGUUUGAAAGCUGCUUCAGAUAGACAGAAAUCUUAUGCGGAUUUGAAACGAAAAGAAAUGGAGUUUCAAGUUGGUGAUAAGGUAUUUUUGAAAGUGUCUCCAUGGAAGAAAGUCCUUAGAUUUGGACGAAAGGGCAAGUUAAGUCCGCGUUUUAUUGGACCGUAUGAAAUAAUUGAAAAAGUUGGACCGGUAGCAUAUCGGCUAGCGUUACCACCCGAAUUAGAGAAGAUUCAUGGUGUGUUUCACGUAUCUAUGUUACGCCGGUAUCGUUUGGAUCCUUCACAUAUAAUUUCACUGACAGAAGUUAAACUACGACCGGAUAUGACUUAUGAAGAAGAACCGAUUAAGAUUUUAGCUCUAGAAGUCAAACAACUAAGAAAUAAAAGUGUUGCACUUGUGAAAGUGUUGUGGCAAAAGCAUGGGGUAGAAGAGACUACAUGGGAACCUGAAGAAACUAUGAGAAACCAAUAUCCACACCUGUUUACCGGUAAGAUUUUCGAGGACGAAAAUCCUUAAAAGGGGGGGAGAGUUGUAAUAUCCUGAAUUAGGGCUUACUCGAAAUAGUGGUUUCGUGACCACAAAUCUGUGAUAAAAAUAAUAAUUUUAUAAUUAUUUUAAUGAUUAUGAUAUGAUUGCAUGAUUGUGUGAAAUUUUCGUGAUGAAAUUCUAUGCCAAAAGUGCUUAAAUUGAAAGUAGGGACUAAAUCGAAUAAGUUGCAAAACUUGCAUUCUAGAAGUUUGUAGUAUGAAAUUGUUUUGGAAUAUUAAUGAGGAGGUAUUAAAUAGCAAUUUGACCAAUUUUAAGUUCAUGGACAAAAUUAGGACAUGGAAGGAAUUUUUGGAAAGUUUAGUAGUAAGGGUAUUUUGGUCAUUUAGUUAUUAAAAUGAAUUAAAAACAAAAUUAAAAGCCAAUUUUUGUCCAUCUUCUUCAUUAGGCCGAAAUUUCAAGGGUUCUCCAUAGCUAGGGUUUGUUUCAAGCUUCCAAGCUCUAUAGUAAGUGAUUCCAAGCCCCGUUUUUAAUGUUCUUUACGUUUUUGGAAUCCCGGUAGCUCGAUUAAGCUUAUGUUAGCAAUAAUUCAACCUAGGGUUUAUAUUUGGAAAAAUACCCAUAGGUGAAAUUUUUGUAUUUUGAUGUUUUAUGAUAGAAUAUGGGGUUUUAAAUUAUGUUAGACAACUUGUACUACUCGAUUUUAAGCAAAAACGAGUAAAAGGGCUUAAUCGGUAAAAAUACCUAAUAGUCACAAGUACAUGUUAGAGUGAGAAUUUGAUGUUGCCAUAGAAGAGAAAAGUGAUCAGCAUGUUGUAAAACAUAAGAAUAAGGAAUAAAGUUUAAUCCCAAGCCUAGGGGCAAAAGUGUAAAUAUGCAAAAGUUUAGGGGCAAAAUUGUAAUUUUGCCAAAAUUUGAGUUAAGGAUUAAUUUGAUAAUGUGAGUAUUAAAUGAGCUAAAUUUGUUAUUUUAGAUCAAGAAAGACGUGGAAUCAACCUCAAUCGAGGAAAAGAAAAAAUUAUGGACUAAAUUGCAAAAUCUUUGUAUUUUGGUACCAAGGUAAGUUCAUGUGUAAAUAAUAGCAUAAUUGUUAUUUUUAAGUUAUUGAUAUUAAUUAUGUGUUAUGCUGAAUUUCAUUAUGAAAUGUAUGCUUUGUGGUUAAUUUCAAAUAAUAUGUAAAUUAUGUGAGCUACUUGUUAAAUAUAAUUGUUACCGAGUAUUGAUUUCGGCAUUCUACGGAAGACGGCAAGGAUAAGUGUUCGAGAAAAAUCCCGUUUGAACCUUAGGAAUAGAUUAGGAUACAAGUGACAUGUCACUAGGAUGGUUGAGCAUCCGAACUCGUUGAGUUGAGUCCGAGUUCACUUAUGGAUGCGAAUGUCCGAACUCGUUGAGUUGAGUCCGAGUUCGUGAGAUGUAACUAGGCAUCCGAACUCAUUGAGUUGAGUCCGAGUUCACUUAUGGAUGCGAACGCCCGAGCUCGUUGAGUUGAGUCCGAGUUCGCUUAUGGGCGGGUUACAUGAUUGCUUGAUUGAAUAUGUGGCACUUAUAUGCAAAUUAUCCAUGUAUCCGAAUUAUAUUCCGAUGUGUUCAACGGGUAAAGUUUUACUCACAUGGAGGAAUACUCGAGAUGAAAAGAGACGUAUUGGUAAGUGAUGAGAAAUGGAUAUUUUGGACAGGUAUGUAUUUAACCCUCGGGUUGAGUGUUGAUUACAACCACGAUAAGGUAAUAAGAUGAUGAAAAAUGAUUAAAAAAAUGUGAUAAGUGUGUUGAUGAUAUAUGCUAAUGUUGAUUAGUUUGAUUGUUUGUUAUGUUAUUUAUUAUUUACAUAUGAACUUACUAAGCAAUUAUGCUUAUUCCCUCCUUCUUACUCAUUGUAGUUUUGGACAAGCCAGUUCAGGAGUCGGGAUAGGUCGAAGGCUCAGUCACACUAUCAGGAAGAUUUUUGGUAAAUGGCUUGUAAAUUUAAGUAUGGCAUGUAUAGCAAUAUACUUAUUUUGUGUAAAUGAUUUUAUGAUAUGGUGACAGAAUGGUUGAGAAUAUAUUUGAUAAUGAUAAAUUAUGAAAAUGGUAAGUUUAGAUUAUGUUUGAUGUUAAGGAAAAUUAUUAAGAUACUUAGUGCAUAAAAACUCAUAAGAGGGAUGAAAUUUGCCAUAAACAGAAUACUGCAGCAACACUGACGCGAGUUUGAAAAUUUACUAAAAAGCAUAGAAAUUGAAUUUGGUGAUGGACUACAUAUCAAAUUGAAGCUAUUAUGUCUAGUUUCACAUGAAAUAAAUGAAACAGGUAAAGGAAUUAUAUGUUAGAAGAUAUUUGAAUUUUAGUGAAACAGGGUCAUAGCAGUUUCUGAAUCCCCUGUUCCUAAUUUAGAAAUUCACCAUAAAUUGUAAAGAUAUAAUUAGGUGGUGUAUUUUAUAUCCUCAGAAUCCUUAUUGAAUUUAGUUUUAGGAGAAACAAACCUCAUAGUCAUAUGAAUUUUUUACAGAGAGAAAAGUGGUUCGUAGUAAACAGAGGUCAGACCAGUCAAGUCCUGAAACAGAGGUAACUUUAACUAAUAAACUGUACUAAUUGGCCCAACCAAAAAUUUUACAAAAAAAUUAGUAGAUAGGUAUAUGAGUCUAGAUUCAGGGAAAAUUUACGGAUCUUGAUUUUGAGUUUCGUAACUCGAGAUAUGAUUUUUCUUGUGACUGUGACGCAAGUAGCUUAAAAGCUGUGAAUGUAGAAACAAAUAAUCCAAAGUUCUAAAAAUGUUAAAUUAAGCUUAGUAACACCUCAUACGCGACUCCGGUGACGGUCUCGGGCGUGGGGGCGUUACAUGCAUAAAUGAAACUUUUCUUACCUUUUUUACUAUAUUAUAUAAUAGGGUAUUCUAGGGGACUUCGUCAAGGACUUCCAACUUUUAAAGCUUUCUUUAUAUUGAAGAGAAGUUUCCAAUAUAUGUAUAUAUGAGUGUGGGGAGGGAUCCAUUUAUACUAGUGUAAAACUUAAGUGAUUUUACUUUUUUGUAACUUUUUACAUUAGUAAUAUUUUAACAAUUCAACCAUCAUAUUUCAUGAUCCAUUCAUAUAGAUAAUGCAUGUUAAGUUUGGCAUAAAUUAAAAAUGAGAUGAGAAAUUACCCUAUACUUUACCAAAUCUUCCAAUAUGGUACCUACACUUUUAAUUUGUCCAAUCUGGUACAUGUACUUCAAUCUCCUUAAUCAUAGUGGUACUUGACCCUAACGCCAUUAAAAAAAUGAUGAAAUGAUAUGUUGACCAAUUAUGUGGUGCCACGUGGCUCAUGUUGGCUCAUUGACUAAUAGUUCAAGGGCUUCUUUGCAAUAAAUCCUAAAAUUAUUCUCUUUCCCAAAUUACAUUUUUCACAAUACUUUAUUUUUCACGUUUUUACUUGAAAACUUAUUGUUUUCUUUUUUUUAUUUCUUUUGUUCCUUUCUUCUUCAACCCUAGUUGCUACCACAGCUGCCCUCGGCCUCCUUCCAACUCAAAAUGGCACAGAGUGUUGCUCUUCGUUCUCUCUUUCGUUUCCCAAUUUGAAAAAAUUUCUAAAAGCUAUGAAAUGCCUUUAAAUUUUUGGAAUUUUCUAAUCUCAAUCUAAAGAUCCAACCGUUGGACAACCGUGUAACUUUGACGACGUUCUUUUCUUAGCAUGAUGAACCUUUUCAUCACUCAGAUCCUUCAAACGAUCCCCUAAAACCCAAGUUUGAAAGGGGGGGUUACUUAAGCCCUCCUCUCUUUCUAGUUCCAUCAUAUUGAAAUUAUAUGUUUAAGUUUCUUCAUUGAAUCUUCCAAACAAUUUUUGUAUCUUCAAUGAAUUAGGUUCUUCAUUUUGGUCAUUUCUUUUUAUUUUUAUUUACCUAAAAUUACAUCUACAGAAACAAAAAGAAAAAGAUAAACUUUUAUAUUUUUCAAUUUUCCUUUGAUUUUUUUGUUGUUGUUUAUGUUCUAUUCUAAAUGAGGAUUAUGUUAUAUCUCAAAUUUUUAGAUAUUUGGGUGAGAUUUAUUUUAGUAAGAAUGAUUUAGAAAUAUCUAUCAUUAGUUUUUAAUUAUUCCUUUGUAGUAUCUUGUUUGAUUCUUGAGAAAAAUAUGGAAGUGAAAAAAUUUUAGUAGAUUAGAAGAAAAAUUGAAAAACAAAACAAAGUAACAUUUCAAAAAAAGCGUGAAAGUAAUUUUUAAAAGUAAAAUAUAUUAAAACAUUUUAUAUAAUUUUUGAUUUUGAAGAAAAAUAUACUUUUUAAUAUAAAUAUCUAAUUUUGAUAAAAAAAAUAUUUCUUUCAACAAUAAAAAAAAUGGAAAAAUUGCCCACAAGGGUCUGAGCUAGAAGUCAAAGGUCAAUAAACAUAUAUUCGGUGCCCAUUGAUUGGUUAAUGUAUCACGUCAUCUAUUUUUUAAAACGGUGUUAGGGUCAAGUAUAGAACAUCUAGGUCCACAAAAUCACUAAACUAAAAUUUAGUUACACCUUCUAACACUCCAAAAUAUGAAAAUAAAGGAGGAAUUUAAAAAACCAAAUAGAAGAUUGAAUAUUUGGUUUGAUGCAAUUAAUACUUAUAACAUAGGUGGUAAUUCUUAGUGAAGAUGAGACUGGAAGGGUAUUUUUAGCUAAGGGUGAUAAAUAACUCAAUCAAGGAUAAAUAAUUAUUUAAUUAGAUAGUUAGGGAUUUAAUCAAUCAUAAGUUAGAGGCUCGCAUUGUCAACACUAGGAAUAAGAAAUUCCAUUAGGUAAAUUUAGGUUUAUUUAAUUUAAUUAAUUUAAUUAAUAUUUUAAUUUGGAUUAACACUACUAAUUUGUGACUCGAUUAUAUUAGUAAUUAUUUUCUGUAAUUAAUUUGAUAAUAGUUUCUCCAAUCUGCAAUCCAUUUGGUACAAUCCUCGGAAUACUUACCGGUGUUUCGUUGUAAAUUUUACUAUAUUACAAUUUAACCCGUACGCUUGCGGAUACUGCCGAUUUAAUUUUAUAUAUUUUUGAUGUGAUAUUUUUACUAUAAAUGAUAACACGUUUAUAGGCGGUCAUCGUAACACAACUCAUUGACUAGAUCUCGUCAUGACGAUAAGAGUCCGACGUUGCAACGUGACCAUCUGUUUGCAAAUGGCCCAAAAUGGUACCAAAUUGCACUUACCUAAACAAAAAUUCAAUUUUCCAAUAUACUUUUCCAACUAGACACAUAUGUUCCAAAAGUUCAAUUCUAUACAAUACUACCUUAUCCAUAAAUGUAUAAAUGCCAUACAACCAAUUCAUCAUUACCAUUCAACAUAUAAGCUAAUUUCAUGGCACAAACCAUUCAAAACAUUUGACAUAUAUAUAUACUCAAAUAAAGCAUAACAUAACAACUAAUUAUGCAUUUCAAACCUUGUGACAUACUCCAAUUCAUAAUCCAACUAUUUGACCAUUUCCAAAAUAUCAAUUCUAGCUUCAAUUAUGAACGUGAUAACAUAUUAUGCCAAAAUGGACUCAACCUAAAUACAUACCGAAUAUUAAACAAAAUGAGACUAUACAAACAUUAUUGAGUUGAGGACAACUGACUAGAUAUUGGAUCACACUUCGAAACUUCAGAAUUUACCUACAUCUAUGCACGAAGAAAACAAACCGUACGUUGAACGAUAAAGCUCGGUGUUAUUUUUAUGAUUCAAGUCAAUACAAUACAAGUAAAAAUCAAUGCAAACAUUCUACUCUAGUUGUCAACUCACAUACAUACUCAUGUAAAAACUUCCAUUACCAUAUGACUUGCAUAUAUCCAUUUAUGCACUUCAGUUCAUUGCAUAAGUACCUUAACAUAACAUUCAUGCUAUUCAACAAUAAGAUAUCAUUUCUUUCUUUUGUAACAUAUCAACUAAUAACAUAAACUUAAUGAUUAAUUCAUAUAAUUGAACCAUACUAUAUUACCUAAUCAUUUCACACUAUCAUCUAUAAACAUAUACUUGUUCAUACACCAUUAUCAACUUAUAUAUAUACACAUAUAUUCAAUUUUGUCUAAUCAUUUCAAUCAUUUCCAAGCCUAUUGGUUCAUUCAUAUUUAAUCACCCCUCAGGUCUCGAUUUAAUUCAUUUGUAUGGUCUGUCAAAUGUUAUCGAACAUCACAUUUCAUAUGUUUACAAUUAUACCAAAUCAUAUCACAUUUCAUUUCAAAUUACCAUAUAGUCAAAUCAUAUUUAUAUAACCCUAUUAACUGGACACAAACUCAAAAUGGAUACGUAGAUCCGUCACCCCAGGUUGCCUGACAACAAUGACUCUGAACAUGUACAUACUAUCAUCCUGGGUUGCACGAUAAGGAUGGUUUCCAUAAUCAGAUUAUUUUGUCACCUCAGGUUGCUUGACAACGAUAACUCAACAUGUACAUUCUACCACCCCAGAUUUCCUGACAACGAUGAUUUCAAAUCAAUAUCCUGACCCUAUAACAUGCCAAUAAUAUUUGACCCUAUCCGAACAGCUAAUAGGGUAACCAAUUUUCCAAUUUCAUUAUAUGAUUUAAUUCAUAUUCCAAAAUUCUCUAUUUAUUAUCAUUUCAAAAUUUCAUCACAUUUUAUAAUAUGUUUCAAUUCUUUUCCAUACCACAUAUAGCAUUUAAAUCAAAUCAUGCUACUUUCUAUUUAUUCAAUUCAGUCCACUAUUUCAAUUUUCAAUCUCAAUCAUAGCAAUUCAAUUUAAAUAACCAUUAUCAAAUCACUUCAAUACCAUAAUAUGCAAAAUAUCAUGAAUAUGCAAUAACUAAUUUGAUCUCGAAUCAUAGAAAUACAAAUUGAAAUCUUGUAUCACUCGUCGUUAACUAUCAUUUUUUCCUUUCACUAUCAACGACCCGAUGUCAUCUUUAGCUAUGAGUAAUUAUUCAAUAAAUAUACAAUAUCAAUUUUCAUCUGAUUCACAUUCAAAUACAAAGCCAAGCAUAUUUUGUAUUUUAUUCAAUUUAGUCCCUAAACUCGGGAUAAGCAUAAGUUUCAAUAUAUAACAUCAAAUUAAAAUCUGAUUUCACAUUUACUCACUAAGGACCCAAUUUCUAUUCUUGACAUAAUUUCAUAAUAUGUUUCAUUUUAUUCAAUUUUGUCCCUAAUGUAACAAAAUUAACAACUAAGCUUAUUAAGAUUUACAAUUUAGUCCUUUUCAUAAUCUAAGCUAAAUUUCUAUCAAUUUCAAGCCUAAUUCCUCACAUUCUUAACAAUGGAAACUUAUCAAAAUUUCAAAAAUUGAACAAAUUGAUACAUGAGCUAGCUAAAUCAAUCUCUCAUGAUCAUAAAUCUAUAAAAAUCAAAGAAAAAUGUCCAAGGAUUUACUUGUAAACGAUGGUCGAAUGUGCAAAGGUUAAAAAAAUGGCAUUUUCUUGUUGUUGUUUCGAUGGACGAUGAGGAAGAUGAUAUUUGCUUUUAUACUAAGUUUAACCAAUAAAUAACCUUAACUAAUUAAUUAGUUUAAGCAUGUUUUACUUUUAAUUAAUCUUAAUUUAAUAAUAAAUUAACCCUUAAUGGAAGUCAUUAACGAAUCCCACUAACUCCUAUUCUAAAUUAGUUUAUUAACCAUUUUAGUCCCUUGGAUAAUUGCUAUCCAAGUCCCCAAGCCUUUUCUUGAUUAAAAAUCUAUAGCAAUUGGACUUUUACAAUUUAGUACUUGGGUCUUAAUUAACCAUAUUUUCUGCUAAAUUACUUAACUAAAUUAAAUCCGUAAAGUAUUCCUAUUUAAUAUUUACGAGCUUGAUUUACAAAAAUAGGAUUCUGAAACCGCAUUUUUUGACACCACUGAAAAGCAGAUCAUUACAUUUGUAACACCCCUAACCCUUAUCCAUAGCCGAAACAAAGUUACAGAGCAUUACUGGACUUUUUAGAUCAAAUACAAACAUUUCAUAUCAUUUAACAUACAUAUCAGAAACUAAUCAUAAAUCACUCAUAUUGUCCCUUACAUGAGCUCUCGGGGCCCAAAAUACACAUUAGAAAUGAAUCAGGACUAAACCGGAACCUUAGAGAAUUUUUUGCAAAACUUCAGAAUUUUUCUUAGAUGUAGGGGACACACGCUUGUAUGGCUCACACGGCUGAGACACACGCCCAUUUGGACAAAAAUAGGCCAUUUUAAGGCUACAUUUCUCACCCAUAUUUGAUUUCAACCUAAACACUUCAAAUUUCUUACUCAUAGGCCAUAACAAGACCUUCAAUACACUCAACUCAAGCUCUAAGCAUGUCAUAUUAUCUCAUAUAUCAUAGCAUAUCAAAUUUACCAUAUUGAUCAAAACAAAUAUUUGCAUAUUUAUACCAUUUAUUCAAAAAAAUGCCUAUAAACUAUCCAUCAAUUAAUCAUACCUAAACAUAUAUCAAGCAUGAUAAGACUACACACACAUAUAUAAGUUGAUUGGAAAUAUAAACAAAAUAUAAAUUAUAAUAUUUACACGAAAUAACUUUACUCAAAACCAUUCCAACACUAUACAUGCCAUAUAAACCGUAGUGUACAUUUCAAAAGCUACCAGAAUAAGCUAGAUAGUGUGGCUUGAUGUGCUGAUCCAAUCUUUUGAUGUAACAUCCUGAAUUAAGGCUUAGUCAGAAUAGUGGUUUUAGGACCACAAAUCUGACGCUAAAAUAAUUAUGUCAUGAUCAUUAUGAGGUCUAGGAUAAGAAAAUGAUCAUGUGUUAAAGUUUUAAGAAGAAAUUCCAUGUGAAAGGUGUCCAAUUGGAAAUUAGGGACCAAAUUGAAUAAAUUGCAAAACUUGGGUUCUAGAAGCAAUUUGUAUGAAAUUGCUUUGGAAUGUUAAUUAUAGGUCCUAAAAGAGUAAUUUUCCCAAUUUUUAAGUUUUUGCACAAAAAUGGGCAUGCAUGGAAAAUUUUAGAAGUUUAGUAAGGAAGGGUAUUUUGGUCAUUUGGUAAUAAACAAAAUAAAAAGGGAAAAAUAAAGCUAAAAUCAGCUCAUUUCCUUCUCCAUGCUGCCAAAUUCUAAGGGUCUACAUAGCUAGGGUUUUCAACAUUUUCAAGCUUAAUAGUAAGUGCUCCCUAGCCCUGUUUUUAACGUUCUUCAUAUUUUUGAGAUCCUCGUAACAUGCUCUCUCUAUUUCUACCUAAAUUUCAAGCUAGGGUUCAUGUUCAAAAAUUUACCCAUGCAUGAUAUGUUUGUGUUUUGAUGAUUUAUGGAGGGAUAUGAGAGUUUAAAGGAUGGUAAAAAACUUUUACUAAGUGGUUUUUCAUGGAAAUGGCUUAAAGGACUGAAUUGUAGAAGUUGUGGAAAUGGGUAAGAAAAUAUAGAAUGAAGGAAAAACAUGGGCUGCUAUGAGUGUGAAUAGAAUUCGGCUAGGCUUGGGUAGCCAAGGAAUUUUAUGCAUUUCAUUAUACGAGUCUUAGGACUAAAUUGUAAAUAUUGUGAAAGGUUAGGGGCAAAAUGAUCAUUUUGCCCGGGGGUGAGUUUUAGGCCUAAAACAAAUAAUGUGAUGUAUUAAUAAUCUAAUUUUAUUGAUAUAGACCUCGAGGAACCAAUUUCGGAGGUCGAUUGUGGAAAAUGAAAAGUUUCAGAAUAGCCGAGACACGAAACCGAAGCAAUUACCAGGUAAGUUCAUAUAACCCGAAGUAAAAUCUUAAUAUACUUAAACAUGCAUGUUCUUGAAUGUAUAAAAAUUUAGAUAUUCAUUGCAUAAUAAUUCAUGAAAUGUGCUUGUGUAAAAGAAAGAUGAUAAAUUUCCCGGUUGAAAUAGAAAAGGGAAAUCCGAUAGGUAAACUAUGGCUUACAUGACAUGAGAUCCUGCAUGUGUUGUAAAAAAGGAUUUAACCCAGACGAGUAAUCCAAUGAUCUCAAAUAGAAAGGAUCUAGCCCGAACAGGUAUUCCUUGAGUGAUCGAGCCUCCCGAAGAAUAUGAUGCAUUAAGCCCAGACGGGUAAUCUGAUUGAGGACUGAAUUUAGCCUGGAUUGGCAAUUCAAAUUCGAGCUUAUGAGAGCAAUUGUCGUUAAAAAGGGAUUUAGCCUGGACUGGCAAUCCCGACAUUACUCUAUUAGUUACUACUACGGGGGAUUUAGCCUGAACUGGUAAUCCCGACAAUGCUCUAUAAGUUACUACUACGGGAAUUUAGCCUGGACUAGUAAUCCCGUUGUAAGAUAUAAGUUUCACGGGAGCGCGUACUCGAGAUGAUCACUUGUAUGACUUGACGGUAAAUGCCUAUCCAUCAAGAUUUUCUGAGAAAUUCAACGGGAUUAACAUGCUGAAAUAAAGAAUGGGAAUAUUGAAUUGAUGAGCUCAUCUAAGACCAAUGACAUGAUGUAUUGUUAUGAGACUAACUUGAUGAUUGAGUGCAUCUGAUAGGGAAACUAUUUCAUACUUGUUGGAAUUAUUAUUUAAUAUGGUUGUAUGUUAAUUAACUGAUAAGUUUACUUUCCAGUUAUCCAGACUUACUAAGCAUAUAAAUGCUUAGCCCCCUUUUCUCCUUUUCCUAUCUUACAGAGCUUGUGGACUCGUGAAGAUUGGAAGACUGUUGGAGAGUCAACACACUAUCGACUGGUCCUGCUUUGGUAUAUAAAUACUUUCAUUUUGUUUAAUGGCAUGUAUAGGGUUUUUGGUUAUUUUUUUAUAUGUGUCAUUUGGCUAGCCAAUGUAAGGGCCUAAAUGAUAUACUUAUUCUUUUGUAUAUGGCCAUGAGAUAUGGCUCAUAUUGAUUUAGGUUGUAAACCUAAUAAUAAUGUAUGUUUAUGUUUAAAUGUUUCAUGAGAUAUGAUGAUGAGGUUUAUCAUGAAUGGAUGCUUGAAAUGGAACCUAAAAUUUGAGAGUGGACAUAGUAUACAGUGGUAUAUGGUUAUAAUAUGGCCUAAGUAUAAAAUGUGCUAUGUUAAUCCCUAAUGUGAAAAGGAUAAUUUAGCAUGUACUAAACCGAUGAGAUGAGGUUAGCAUGCAAUGAGUUACGUCAAGGUUGUUCAAGAGUGUAAUUAGGCCAUGUUACAUACCACUGAAAUCUAUAAGUGUAUAUGGAUGAUAGAGGGUGACCAAAGGCUUGGAAAAUAGCCCUGAAAAAGUCCACAUGGGUAGACACACGAGCAUGUGUCUAGGCCGUGAGUGACACACGAUUAGCCCCCAUGGGCGUGUUGCUUGGAAAAUAGCCCUGAAAAAGUCCACAUGGGCAUGUGUUGCAGAAAAGGAUUUAGCCCGGGUAGGUAAUCCAAUGAUCUAAAAUAGAAAGGAUCUAGCCCGAACGUGUGUUCCUUGAGUGAUCGAGCCUUCUGAAGAAUAUGGUGCAUUAAAGAUUUAGCCCAGACGAGUAAUCCGAUUGAUGACUGAAUUUAGCCUGGACUGGCAAUUCAGAUCCGAGCUUAUGAGAGCAAUUAUUGUUAAAAAGGGAUUUAGCCUGGACUGGUAAUCCCGACAUUGCUCUAUGAGUUACUAUUACGGGGGAUUUAGCCUGGACUGGUAAUCUCGUCGUAAGAUAUAGGUUUCACGGGAGUGCAUACUCGAGAUGAUCACUUGUAUGACUUGACGGUAAAUGGCUAUCCAUCAAGAUUUUCUAAAAAAUUCAACGGGAUUAACAUGCUCAAAAAAAUAAUGGGAAUAUUGAAUUGAUGAGCUCAUCUAAUACUAAUGACAUGAUGUAUUGUUAUGAUAUUAACUUGAUGAUUGAGUGCAUGUGAUAGGGAAACUAUUUCAUGCUUGUUGGAAUUAUUGCUUAAUAUGGUUAUAUGCUAAUUAACCGGUAAGUUUACUUUUUAGUUAUCUGGACUUACUAAGCAUAUAAAUGCUUACCCCCCUUUUCUCCUUUCCUUGUCUUACAGAGCUCGUGAACUCGUGAAGAUUGGAAAACGGUUGGAGAAUCAACAUACUAUCGACUGGUCCUACUUUGGUAUAUAGAUAAUUUCAUUUUGUUUAAUGCCAUGUAUAGGGCUUUUUGUUAUUUUAUUAUAUAUGUCAUUUGGCUAGCCAAUGUAAGGGUCUAAAUGGUAUACUUAUUCUUUUGUAUAUGGCCAUGAGAUAUGGCUCAUAUUGAUGUAGGUUGUAAACCUACUAAUGAUGCAUGUUUAUGUUUAAAUGUUUCAUGAGAUAUGAUGAUGAGGUUUAUCAUGAAUGGAUGCUUGAAAUGGAACCUAAUAAUUUGAGAGUGGACAUAGUAUACAAUGGUAUAUGGUUAUAAUAUGGCCUAAGUAUAAAAUGUGCUAUGUUAAUCCCUAAUGCGAAAAAGAUAAUUUAGCAUGUACUAAACCGAUAAGAUGAGAUUAGCAUGCAAUGAGUUACGUCAAGGUUGUUUAAGAGUAUAAUUAUGCCAUGUUACAUACCAUUGAAAUCUCUAAGUGUGUAUGGAUUAUAAAGGGUGACCAAAGGCUUGGAAAAUAGCCCUGAAAAGGUCCACAUGGGUAGACACACGGGCAAGUGUCUAGGCUAUAUGUGAUACACGGUCAGCCCCCAUAGGCAUGUUGCUUGGUCGUGUGUUCCCUACACCUAAAAAUUUAGGUCAGCUUGCAUGGUAGUAAACACACGGGCAGAGACACGGUUGUGUGUCUCAAUCAUGUGGAGGAGACGGCCUAGCACACGGGUGUGUGCCUAAAAAUGAAUGAUGACGUCAUAAACAGAAUGUUCACGUUUUUGGACACAUGAGAAGACACAUGCGUGUCUAGGCCAUGUGAGGCACACGGGCCAAGGACAUGGGCGUGUGCUUGGCCGUGUGAAAACCCAUGUAGGUUUGAAGUGAAAAAUAAAUCCAAAUAAUUCAAUGCGGGUGGGACACACGGGCGUGUCCCUAAGCACACGGGCGUGUGUUUUGCCUCCACACGAGCGUGUGAGGCAUAACCCUAGUAAUUUUACUAAAAUUUUCUAUAGUUCUCUGUUUAGUCCCGGAUCUCUUUUAAUAUAUGUUUUGGGCCUCGUAGGCCUAUAAUAGGGACAUUAUGAUGUUGCUUGAUUGGUUUUAAAUUAAAAUGAAAUUUUAUAACACGUAUUUUCUGAAAGUGUUCAAGUAUAUGUCUGGUAACACCUCGUACCUUGUCCCGGUCUUGGGUACGGGUAAGGGGUGUUACAUCCGACCUCUCAAAAAUCUACAAAGACAUUAAAUAACACAAAUAAGCUAUAAGUUCGAUGGGUUAAACUUAAAUUUUACCGAACCUACUAUAAUAAAUCAAUUAGAUAAAUUCAUUUAAUGUAAACUCCUUGCCAAUCACAGCUUCAAACGAUGAAUAUACUUAUUUUAGAUCAAUACCAAUAACAAACAAUAUGUUUUUCAAUUUCAAUUACAUAAUCACUUACCAAAUCUUCCCAAAUUAGAGAACAGCUUACGGAUAAGAGUACAUCGUUUUCAGAAGCCCUAAAGCUGAAUAGAAGCUCAUGAAAGCUAAAUAGAAACCCAUAAGGGUUGAACAUAAGCUCGUAAGAACUGAACGGAAACCCAUAAGGGUUAAACAGAAGCUCAAAAGAGUUGAAUGGAAACCCGUAAGGGUCAAACAGAAGCUUAAAAGAGCUGAAUGGAAACUCAUAUGAGUUAAACAGAAGCUCGUGAGAGCUAAAAGGAAAGUAAACACAAAAUUUCUCAACAAUACUGAACCUCGAUUUACUUGGGUAAUUUUUUGUCAAUUCCUCUAAUGUCGUCUUGCGCGACAAAACGAUUGUACUCAAAUCUUGCGUUCUAUUUUAUCCGGAUAUUCAAUUCAAAAGCAUAACUCCAUCAAUAAUUCAUUUAUAAAAAUAGAAUAAAUAAAAAAAAUCAUUCACCACAAAUCAAUGUAAAUAUUAAAUUUUAACCGUAUGAACUUACCUAGUUUAAAUUGUAAGAUUUGCAGAAGUUCAGGGACUAUUUCGCUAAUUUUCCUUUUUCACGAGUAUCUACAGGAUCUUGAUCUAAAAUAUAAAAUUACUCAUCCAUUAGCAUAUAUUUCAGUUCCCCAUUCACUUCACAAUUAAUACCCCUCAAUUUUUUGAAAUUACACAAUUAUCUCAACUUUUACAACUUUUGCAAUUUAAUCCCUUAACUAGUUGGUCCAUUAAAUGAACUAAUUUUUCUCAAUUGAUAAUUUAUCUAAAUAUUCUAGGCUAUUAUACAGCCCUUGAUAAAUAGAAAUUUAAUACAAAACCCUAAUAUUUAACAUUUUCACAAUUUGGUCCUAAAAUCAAUAUCUAACAAAAAUCACUUUAUAAAAUCAUCAUACAACAAAAUCAAAGCUUUAAAUCCAUGUUAUUUUAUCAAAAACAUCCAGUAUUCAUCAAUGGUAAUUUUCAAAAUUCUCAAUAAAAUAAAAAACUAAGGUAAUAACUAGUUAGACCUAAUUGUAAAAGUCUUAAAAACAUAAAAAUUACAAGAAAAUGGUAAGAAUUAAACUCACUUGAAGUAAAAAUAUAAAAAAUAGCUUAAGGAGCUCUCCUAUGGCUGCUUUUGGCUGAAAAUUGAAGAAGAAUUUGUCUAGAAACCUUUAAAGUUUCAAUUUGUAGUUUUAAUUUUGUUUUAUUUACUAUUUUGCCAUUAAAUGGCUAUUUUUUUAUUUUCACUACUCAUGCCGCCUCAACCAUUUCAUUUUGGCUUAUUUCCUCUUUAAGUCCUCUCUGUUUACCAUUUAAGAUAUUUAUGGCUCAGUUUAUAGAAUCGAGGUCUCGAUACCUCAUUUUCUAAACCACUUGACCUAAUAAAUCCUUAUAAAAUACAAAUUACUAAUUUAAAAAUCUUUCUAAAACCACAUUUGACUCAUAAAUACUAAAUAUUAAAAUUUACUAGCUUACUUGUCGGAUUUGGUGGUCUCGAACCACUAUUUCUGACACCAUUGAAAAUCGGGCUGUUACAACAUUGGUAGUUGGACUAAUAUGAAAAUCAUUGAAGUAAUAACACUUGAUGAUUAUGACUUUGUGGUUGGUAUAAUUUUCCUUGACCGGAUUAAUAUAUUUCUUAUCCCUUUUACUAAUUACAUGUGCAUUUUGGAUUAGUGCCACUAAUGUGUGGUACCGAUUAAAUGUGAGGUAGGUGCGGAAGCUCAUGUCUUAUUCGUAAUACAAUUUGCUAAUGGGGUGUGUAGAGAUGAAGUUUCUUACUUAGAAACUUUGAAGGUUAAUGGGUCUCAUAAGCCUAUUGAGGAGAUCCCAAAAGUGGUGGUUCUUUUGUUAUAGUUUUUUCGAGAUGUGAUGUCUGUCGAGUUGCCCAGAAAAUUACCUCAUAAGAGGGAGGAUCACAGGACUGAGUUAAUGCCCAAUGCCAAAUCACCAACCAAGUCCUCAUAUUGAAUUUCACCGCCAAAAUUGGAGGAAACUAGAAACAAUUGAAGGAUAUCUUAGAUGCUGGGUUCAUUAGACCAUCUAAAACUCCAUAUGGUGCACCGAUUUUGUUUCAGAAAAAGCUUGAUGAGUUUUUGAGAUUGUGCAUCAACUAUCAAGCAUUGAACAAGAUCAUUGUGAAGAACAUGUGCCAAAUUCCACUCAUUGCAGAUUUGUUUGAUCAACUUAGUAGUGUAAGGUGGUUUACCAAGUUGGAUUUGAGGUCGAGGUACCAUCAAGUCAAAGUAGUCGAAGAGGAUGAACCAAAGACAACUUGUGCGACGCAUUAUGAUUCGUAUAAGUUCUUUGUUAUGCAUUUUGGAUUAACAAUGUUCCAAGGACAUUUUUUUACCCUGAUGAAUAAGGUACUACAACCUUUUUCAGAGUAUUUUGUGAUUUUUUAUCUUGAUGAUAUUGUAGUGUACAAUAAGUAAAUCACUUGAGAAGCAUGUGAUGCAUUUAAGGGAAGUGUUUCAAAUCUUGUAACAGAAUAAGCGUUAUGUUAAAGAGGAAAAAUGCUCAUUCACAUAGCACGAGGCAUCUUUCUUAUGUAACAUUGAGGGAAGUGGUAGAAUUUGGAUGGAUAGGAGCUAAAUUCAGGCUAUUGUUGAUUAACAACUUUCUACUGAAGUAGAAAUGAGAAACAAAGCCACCAAGGAAAAUGAAAACAGGGACUAACGAAACCCAAGCUAAGAAAUGGCCAUGUUGAUCACCUCUUUGAUACCUGACAUGGGUUAAAGUCACGACUUUUAAUGGAUGAUCAACUCUCAUGGUGAAAUUUCAAGUCAAUCUAAGAAGCUAAAAUUAAAAUCAAUUUCAAGUGGGAUGUAGUUUGGGAGGAUUGAGUUUUAACUGGUGUUUCAAUUCAAUGUUUAUUUCUGGAGAAACUGCUGGUAAUGAAAAAGGUGUGAGUGGGAAAAUUCAGGUUAGGGAGAGAGAUGUAUACACCGACGAAGAAACAACCACGGUGUUGCCUUACAUGUGGGAAUAAAGGAAGACACACGUUGAUAGAUCCUACCUUGUUAUUUUCUUAAAAGGUCAGGGGUAUUAUUGGUUUUCCAACAUGAAGAGAAUGUCAAAUUAACGUCUAAUCUGAGAUGUCGGUCGUGAGCCGUUAAUGCAAUCCGACGGAUGAGAAAGAAACCCUAGUUGAGCCAAAGCUGAGAGUGUGGCUGGCUACUUAAGAUAAAGCAGCCUGCUCUCGCCUUCUCUUGUUCUCGCUCAACGCUCUUUUCUUCUGCUUCUGGUCAAGCCAAUAUCAAAAGACUUCCCUUUUAGCUCACAGGUAUGAAUCCAUUUACAACUUAUGAUUAUCUUUCAAAUGUUAUUGCUUUGAUUCGAAAGAAAAGGUAGUCUGAUUUGUUGGUAGCUGAAAUAUUAUAUCUGAUUUGCUGAAAUGGUUCUCAUACGAUUCAUAUUUUGUGUGUAGUUUCGAUCUGAUUCUUUGUUUUUUUGGUUGUGUUUUUAGAUUUCAUUCAUGAAAGUAAGUUUUGAACUCUGGAAUUUAUUUUUCUGAGAAAAUAAUUCCUGUGAUAACUGGUUUAUAGAAGCAAAUGCUGCCUAAGGGAAAUUUUUUAACGAAUAAUUAAAAUUGUCGAGUAUUAUUUUCUUAGUUUAGUUUGGCUUCGAUGGAAAUGUUUGACUAGCUUCAUGGGAAAGGAUAAGUUAAGAUCUAGUGGCUGUAGUUCAUUGGAAUGAACUCCAUAUCUAUGGAGGAACUGGGCUCGAAUCCCAGCGGCCACGUUUUAUCAAUGUUGGAUCUGUUGAAUUUAAAUGGGGCUUGAUUUUCUUUUUCGAAAUUGACUUGAACUGUUCUUAGUAAACAAUAAAAGUGGGUCACAGAUUCAUUGUUUCUUGUCCGCAAGAUGUUGGUCUUCUUGUGUGAUUUUGACUUGAAAUUAUGUUUUGAGCUUAUUUAAUUAAUUAUUACAUAUAUUUAAUGAUUUUCAAAUUUAAUAUCAGCUAAAUGACACUGUAGUUAAAUGUAAUAUAAAAAAUAUUAAUAAUUAAAAUAUAUAACAUUUUAAAUAAAAAAUAAAUAAAUAUUAAAACUAUAAUUAACUUUGAUUUAAUGUGCAAUUGUUUAUAUUAAUUUUAAUUUGAUAUAAUUAUACAUGUACAACUUUAAUUGUGAUUUAAAUGUAUACUUAAAACUUUAAUUUUAAUUUAAUCAUCCUCAUUUAAAGAAAUAAAUACAUUAAUUUAUUUUUAUACCGGAUAAAUAUAAUUAUUUAUAUAUGUAACAUAUAAACAUAAAAUAAUAUUAUAUUAAUAAUUGUGUUAAUAAUUUAUAAUAAUUGUAUCAAAUUAACAUUUAACUUACAUACUCUUGUAUUAGUGACAAUAUUAAUACCAAUCGAAUUAAGACUCAAUCCAAAUAUUGCUAGGUUACUUCUUUAAAAGAGAAUAUUAGUUUAAUACUUUUAAAAUUCUCAUAACAGCAAUUCCUAAAAAUAUUCGUGGCACACAGUAAAUCACACGCAACUUCAAUGAACUAAUUUUUAGAUAUGAUAGGAAAAAAUAAAAUAAACCCAAGAUAACAGGUGUAAACACACGAUUGAGGCAUACAUGGAUUAUAUUCACUAUGGAGCUCUCAAAGAUACUGUGAUUUAUUAGUAGAUGAAAGUACCAAAAAAUAUUAUAAGCUGACACCGAACAAGAUUGUAAAAGGAAAGCAAAAAAAAGUAAACUCUCCUGUCAGUUGCAUGAUGAAGAAAUAGAAUUAAGAAACAGUUCCUGAGGUUUGCACAAAGCAAAUACUCAUAACAAUUAAACUCAGAUGAAGCAUCCAUCAUCAAUCACACUUCAACUCCUCUCAUUUGUCCUUUGAAUCUCAUAACCUGUGAUUAAAAAAAUUUUAAUAAAGUGAGCUCAAUGCAAAUGUUAUUUCCAAAUAAACUAGCGGUUGCGGUUAAAUUUUGUCAUAUUUGCUAUUACUUCUUUAGAUUAUGUUGCAGGAUUUUGUCGAAGACAAGAACAUACACUGCGCUUUCAAUAAUUUUCAAAUAUGAAAUGCCAAGAUCAAACAUCAUAGGUUGAGUAGAAAAACUGACCAUAUCAUGAGCACCACUCUCUGGCAUUUUGGAACAUUCUUAACCAUGGACUAGGGCCUUUCUUGUCCACAUUCCAGUCCUUUGGAUACCAAGGGAACUGCCACAUCAGGAAACACCGCUCUGGAUGAGGCAUCAUGGCAAGAUGUCGACCAUCAGGAGAACAAAUUGCAGCCACUCCUAAUGGAGAACCAUUCAAGUUGAAGGGGUAUGCCUCUGUUGGGUUCCCAUCAUCGUCGCAAUAUCUUAAUGGAGCCAAAUCUGAAUGUAAUACACGAUCCAGAACACCAUCAUCAGGAAAAUAUGCUCUUCCCUCACCAUGGGCAGCCCAUACACCUAAUGUACUGCCUUCCAUUCCUUUAAACAUCAUGGCAGGAGAGUCCUUUAUAGUCACACUUGUGAACCGGCAUUCAAAUCGGCCAGACUCAUUGUGCACAAACCUGGGUUGUGAUGGGUCCCCACCAGCACCAAAAACACCCCCCACUUGUGGCCCUGGAAUCCACCCUAACAGAGCCAUUAACUGACAUCCAUUGCAAACGCCAAGACUGAAAGUAUCAGGGCGCUUGUAGAAUUCCUGAAACUGAUUGAGAAGAGGCUGAUUGAAGCGUAUGGACGCAGCCCAACCUUUUGCAGAAUCAAGCACAUCGGCAUAACUAAAACCUCCAACAAAUGCAACUCCACGGAAUUCAUUCAAAGAAAUAACUCUGUUAAGAAGGUCCGACAUUGCAACAUCCCAAGGCUCAAAACCAGCAGCAUAAAAUGCUGCUGACAUUUCUCUGUCUCCAUUGCUCCCUUCCUCACGAACGAUGGCUACUUUCGGUUUUAAAGUUGUAGUAAAACAUUUCUCAUCCGUAACUGAAGGAGUGAAAGACAAGGGCCAAGAAGGCUCAUGCCGGAACUUCAAACCUUCUUUCUCCAGUUCCACACAAGAUGCCAAUCUCUGCAACUUUUCGAGCUGGAAACUUGUAUCCUCCCACAUAUCUCUCAGCAGAGAAGUUUUCUCAUUUAAAUGAGUAAUUCCAUCAACCUUGAGCUCUAUCACAGGUGAGGUGGUUACUCGUCCUAUUAUCUCAGCAGAAACAUCCACACUGCUAAGCUUCUCCAUCACACUACCCAAGUUAUUCUUGCUUACCUCAAGAAUGACACCAAGCUCUUCAGCAAAAAGUGAUUGGAAAACACUAUUUCCUAGAGAAGCCAAGUCCAAUGCAAUGCCACAAUUUCCAGCAAAUGCCAUCUCCAACGCGCAAACUAGUAAUCCACCAUCACUGAUAUCAUGACCUGCAGAGAUCAGACCAUCUCCAAGAAGAUCCUGCACCCCCUCAAAAACUCUCUUCAGGUAGGAAACAUCAUCAAUAUCAGGGCAGUCAUUCCCAAUCUGAUCAAAAACCUGAGCCAAAGCGGAUCCACCCAGACGCCGCUUUCCCUUUGCCAAAUCAAUAUGAAGCAAAAUACCAUCAUCACCUUGCUUCAAAUCUGGGGUUACCGUUUUUGUUAUGUCAGGACAAGUGACAUAAGCACUAAUUACAAGAUUUCCUGGAGCCUUAACAACCUCCCCACCUGCAUGGGCAGCCAUUGACAGACUGUCCUUCCCACCAUCAAUAGCGAUACCAAGUUCAAUCAUUGCUUCUGAAAGAGCAAUAGCAGCGUCAUACAUGGCUGCUCCUUCACCCUCAAGCUUGGCAGCAUACAUCCAAUUUCCACUUGCUUUGACAUCAGACAAAGAAGUAACCUUUGCCCAAACAAGAUUUGUGAGAGCUUCUCCAACAGCAAGUCUAGCCAUUGCUUUUGGAUCAAGCAGCCCCUUGAUAGGCUGCUCUCCAAUGGCACAGGCACCCCCAGUUAAGUCAACAUAACUUUGAGCAAUGACUGCAACAUCGGCUAGAGGUAACUGCAAGGGACCAACCGUUUGCUGCUGUGCUACAAGACCUGUUACACAUCUAUCAACUUUUGUUGUCAAAAACCGUUUGGAACAUACAGAUGGAAGUCUUAAUACUCUCUUCAAUGAGUCCAUGACUGUGAUUGCAGGAGCAACAUCAAGCGGUUCUCGUGCAUAAGACACUCGCUUGAAUUCAAAGGAUUUUUGAGGCAUGUCACCAAGCACUUUCUCAAGCUCAAGAUCAACAGCUGGAGGAGGGGGAGGGAGUCCACUUGCACGACUUUUUUCAACAGCUACGCUAUCAACUAGAACAACACGUCCCUCACCAUUAAUAGUCCCAAUAACAGCCAUUGAAAGUCUUUCCCUUGCACAUAUUGAUUCCAACAGCUUGCGGCUUUCAGGUUUUACCAAGAUUGCGUCUUGUUCUUGAUACUCUGCACCCCAUAUCUCCAAAACAGACAUAGUGUGAUCUCCAACAACAAUGGCUCUAAUAUCAAUCUCAGCACCCUUUGGGUAUAUGAUUUCCUUGACAACAUUGCAAUUCCCACCAGCUCCCUGAUCAUGAAUGCUAAUAAUCGGGUUAUCCUCCCCCAUCUCAAUGCAGGCACGAACUACACGGUAUAGUUUUUGUGCCAUUUCUGCAUCUCCACGCUGUACAGCAUUAAAAUCAAGUUCUGCAUCGUUCUGGCCACUAACCAUACUAGACGCAGCUCCACCACCCAUUCCAAUACGAUAUGCAGGGCCACCAAUCUUUACAACUAACAUUCCAAUUUCUGGGUCCCCUUUCGAUAUAUAAGUGUGAUCAAUCUGUCCAAUGCCUCCACUAAACAUGAUGGGCUUCAACCAUUCACGACGUUCACCACUAGGGAGUCUUAUUCCAAAUGUUCUAGUAAAACCCUGGAUUAAUGGCUCACCAAAUUUGUUACCAUAGUCAGAUGCACCAUUGCUAGCCUCGAUGAGAAUUUCCAAAGGAGAAGCCAAAUUUGAUGGAUAAGUGAAAGACGAGUCUUCCCAUGGGGCAUAUGAUCCCUCUAUAUUAAGAUUCCCAGUUGUGUAACCAGCUGUGGAUGCAACAACAAAUGAUCCUCUUCCAGUGGCAUGUGUAUCCCUAAUGCGGCCACCUGCACCUGUCUCUGCACCAGGGUAGGGUGCCACUGCACAUGGGAAGUUAUGUGUUUCAGCUGUAAACAAGACAUCAAUUUCACGAGUUGUUUCAUUUAGUAGGCAGGCAGUUCCAGGCUUAACUGGUAGUAAUCGGUAUGCAAGAAACCCUUUUAUUGCACUCGAAUUAUCCUUAAAACCAAUGACAGAAUUAUUUGGGUUUGCUUUCAAAGUGCUCUUGACAAUUUGCAUGAGGGUCCUAUCCAUGGGCUGUCCAUCAAUAACAAUCUUCCCUGUGAAAAACCAAUGCCUGCUAUGCUCACUGUUAGAUUGGGCGAUAUCAAAUAACUCUACAUUCGUCGGAUUCCGCUUUAUGUCCUCCACAAACAGCCUGGUAUAGUACUGCAAGUCUUGUUCAUCAAAUGCUAAACCCAUUUCGUGAUUUAUUUCCUCCAACGCUUUCCUUCCCCUCUCAAUGAUAGGCACAAAACGAACCUCCUCCAGAGCCACACUAGUUUCAAAUGAAGCGAGCCUCUGCCAAUAAACACACUCCGUCAUCCGAUCAUGAACCAUUGCAGCAAACUCAUUAAUUUGAUUUUCCUGCAAUGCUCCCUUACUAUACAACAAGUAUCUUCUGGACCUCUCCAUUCGAGUCACCUCAGUCAAGCCACAUGAUUGACAAAUUGAAACAGCAUUCGAGGACCAUGCUGUUGUAAAAGACAACCUUGGCCCAACUUCAACUAUCACUGGAUUCAACCCUUCUUGCCUCUUCUUCACAAGAAAACUCUCAGUUGCCAAAUUUUCAGGUUCGUAUGUUUCCCCAAGAAUCCAUUUAAGUGUUGAGAACUUCUCAGAUGAAAUCUUUGAAGCAAGGCCUAUAUUAAAACACUGCUCGGUUUUCAACCCAACAAUCUGAUUGGAAACUUUGGUUUGUACCGAUUUGAGAAGCUCGUCGUUUGCACUUUCUUGUAUCAAAGGGAUGCGGUAAAAAUGGACGACCUCUUGAGCAGGCUUUUCAAUCAAUCCAGGUUGCUCAUCAACCGAACUAGUAGGGACAUUUCCAGAAGCCAUUGCUUUAGGCUUUGACCGAGAAGAGCACCUCAAAGAAGCACCUUUUGUGUUAGACAGGUAUCCCAUCCGGCUUGGAUUACAUAGCUUGCCCCAUAAUAGAUUCCUUGGCUUAAUCGAAGAAUUUCUCUGCAAAAACAGAGUUUGCCUUGUUGUACCCUGAAAUAAGGCAAAGUGCACCAAAAAACGAAGAAGAAAGUUAUGAACCUGAAUCAGUUUGCAAGAGCUCAAUGCAGUUUUUAUUUGUUAAAUAAGAAAAAUUAAAGGAAAACAACAGUCCUAUAUCUUAGCUAAAACAAGGAAAACCCGUACGUGGAAAAUUUCUUUAACACACUUUCUCGGAGUCCAAACAGAGUGUAGACCAUAAAGGAAAACUUACUUGCAGGAACUCUGCCGCAGUUAUCUCUCUUACCCCAGCCAUUUUCAAGUAGCUGCAAGAAUACAAACCCAGAGGACAAAAUAAGUUGUAUUCAGAUAAUAAAGUUUAGGGUUUAGGCCUUAAACCCUAUUCAGAUAAUAAAGUAAAGAAAUGGAACCAAAAUCACAGCAGAAAGAGAUGAAAGGAAGAACAGUUUGUAUAAAAGUGAAAUAAGAGGCAGUAAGUAGUGGGAACGUAGGGAACUAACCAGAUUUUUAAGUCUUCAGUUUGGAGUGAUGACCAAAAACCCUACUCUCUUUAUUCUUUUUCUUUUUUUUUUUCAUUUUUUUUUCUAAUAUUCGUUUGUAUUUUUUUGCGCCGAAUCCUUUGAUUGUGGGGACUAAAUAGUCCCCCACGAAUCCACUAGUCUAAUUUUAUACCUAUUAUCGGCACUCAGUUACAAAAUUAUAAAUAUUUUUUAUUAUAAUUAAUAUUUGUUUUUUAAAGAAUAAACAAUAUUAUUAUUGUAAUUAUCGGAUUUUAACUUUUGUCAGAAAGUAGAAUUUUGGAAUUCGAUUUCAUAAAUCGAGAUUGUGAAAUUAUAAGUAGAAGGAUUAAUAUGAAAUAUAUCAAAUAAUGGUUAAAAAAUUAAAUCGAAAAAAUUAUUAAUUAAAAUUUAUGAAUUAAAUUGUAAAAUUCAAUUGUUACUAAAUUUUAAAUUUAAAAAAUAUAGAGAACUUAAUUAAUACUAAACCUAAAGACAUUGGAAUAAAUUGAUGAUUAUUAAAAAUAUUAAAAGAUGAAAAUAUAUCACAAUUUUUACACUUCCAUCAAUUUCUUCAUUUAACAAAAAAAUCAAAUUGAGAAAGUUAAAAAUUAAGAUGAAAAUAAUAAGAAAGUGAGAAAAUUGAAGUGAAUCCACUAAAAGUGAGAAAAUUGAAGUGAAUCCACUAAUUGAUUAUUAAACAUAUAUUAUAUUAAAUGAUAGAGAUAUUAUUCAGUACAAAUAAUAUGAAAAUAUAAAAUAAAAUUUUAAAAUUUAGAAGAAAACUAUUUUAAUUAAUUUCAAUAUUAUAGUAACAAAUCGAUUAAAGAAAGAAAUUCAAAAUUCAGAUUUUUAUGUUUUGAAGUUUACAAUUAAUGUUAAAAAAUCAAAUUUUAAUUAAAAAUAUUAUUUUGAGUGAAACUAAUAGAUUAAUCCAAAUAUAUUUUAAGAAAAAAAAUAUGCAUUUUUAACUUGUACGCAUCUUUUCAUUUUUAAAAAUUUAAAUAUUGUUAAAAAAAUUUUGGGGGAAAAUAUUGUUAAAAUUUUAAUUAUAUAUUCAAAUUUUUAACCAAAAAUAAUACAUUUAAAUUUGAAUAUAUAAAUUAUAUAUUAAAAUUAAAUCUAAUUUUCUAAUGAAUAAAUAUAAUACACUUAAAUUAAUACAAACAAUAACUCGUAGAUCAAUAUAUCUCUGAUUCUUAAUAUUAUUUAAAAAAAAUGUAUGAUCUAAAUAAAAGAAAAAAAAUACUAAAUUUAGGCCUAGGUCUGGGAAACACUGAGCUCAAGAAGAAAAGAAACGAGUAGAAUCGGACAAAGUAAAUCCAAUUAAGAUAUUGCAAGUUAUCACAUGUUGAAGUUUUAACCAGGUAAUAGUAAUUAAAGGGUAGUAAAAUACAGGGACGUAUUUGUAAAAUAUGACCUAUGUUCUGUAUAACACACACAAAAAACAAAACAGCAGUAUGAUCUUAACCAACACACAGCAUCCUCAACAUCAAUGUUCCAAUCUGGUUUCUCAUGCAGUAGUAGAUCUGUUGAAUAUUGGCAAUAUCCCACAUUAGGAAAAGAUAGAAAGGGAGGGGGUUUGGUUUGUUAUAUAUAGAACCCCUCCCCCUUUGGUUGUAUUAUCCCAAAAUCUUCUCCUUUGUAAUAUUUCUAGAAGAAAUAUUAAUUUGGUAGUGUCCGAGGACGUAAGCUAAAUUGGCCGAACCUCGUUAAAUCUCUGGUAUUUUAUUUCUUAUUUGUUUGCUUAUAUUUAAUAGCUUUAUGUUGGUUAUAUUUAUUUAGUUAUUAUUGCUAUAAAUAUCUAAGUGAGUUCUGUCUAGUUGUUGGGUUUUAAGCGGGACCAUUUGUGACCCCUCCAAUUUAACUGGGAAUUUUCUUAGUAUAAUUGUUGGCACAACUACCAAAAGGGAAGAAGGCGAUUGGUUGCAAAUUUGAAGACACUAUUGAAAUUAGUGUUAUGAGAAGAUGUUCGAAGAUGUGGAAUAUCGCCAAGGUGGAGAUUUGUUGAAUAUUGGCAAUAUCCCACAUUAGGAAAAGAUAGAAAGGGAGGGGGUUUGGUUUGUUAUAUAUAGAACCCCUCCCCCUUUGGUUGUAUUAUCCCAAAAUCUUCUCCUUUGUAAUAUUUCUAAUAUUCAACAAAUCUCCACCUUGGCGAUAUUCCACAUCUUCGAACAUCUUCUCAUAACACUAAUUUCAAUAGUGUCUUCAAAUUCAGAAACCAGCUCGUUUCACUGACAUGGUAGCUUAUGCACUUCCAGUUGUUGAUAAUAUUCCAUCCACUUACACCGAAGCCAUUCAGAGUUUAGAGAAUAAUAGAUGGUUAGGUGCAAUGGAAGAGGAAAUGCAAUCUCUAGAGAAAAACAAGACGUGGAAGCUGGCACAACUACUAAAAGGGAAGAAGGCGAUUGGUUGCAAAUUUGAAGACACUAUUGAAAUUAGUGUUAUGAGAAGAUGUUCGAAGAUGUGGAAUAUCGCCAAGGUGGAGAUUUGUUGAAUAUUAGAAAUAUUACAAAGGAGAAGAUUUUGGGAUAAUACAACCAAAGGGGGAGGGGUUCUAUAUAUAACAAACCAAACCCCCUCCCUUUCUAUCUUUUCCUAAUGUGGGAUAUUGCCAAUAUUCAACAAAUCUCCACCUUGGCGAUAUUCCACAUCUUCGAACAUCUUCUCAUAACACUAAUUUCAAUAGUGUCUUCAAAUUUGCAACCAAUCGCCUUCUUCCCUUUUGGUAGUUGUGCCAGCUUCCACGUCUUGUUUUUCUCUAGAGAUUGCAUUUCCUCUUCCAUUGCACCUAACCAUCUAUUAUUCUCUAAACUCUGAAUGGCUUCGGUGUAAGUGGAUGGAAUAUUAUCAACAACUGGAAGUGCAUAAGCUACCAUGUCAGUGAAACGAGCUGGUUUCUGAAUUUCUCGUCUCUGCCUUCUGACUGCAAUUGGCUCUGAUUGCUGUUGAGGUUCUUGGGUAGAAACCUCUUCCUCAUCUGACUCUGCAUCUGCCAAUGAAGAAUCACUAGUGGUACCUUCUGCUGGAAUUACCACACUCUGCUCAAACUCCACCUGCUGCGGAGUACACUCCACCUGCUGCGAAGUACUACUCACUCCUUCUGGAUUUACCUUAUUCAACAUGGCAGAUUCAUGAAAGGUAACAUCCCUACUGAUUAUCGUCUUCUUUGCCUCUAGACACCACAAACGAUAUCCCUUAACACCAGCAUUGAAGCCCAUGAAUAGAGCCUUCUUUGCUCUUGGAUCUAACUUUGAUUCUUUCACAUGAUAAUAUGCAAUAGAACCAAAAAUGCGCAAGGUGUCAUAAUCAGUAGCAGGUUUUCCAUACCAUUUCUCCAAAGGAGUCUUGCUAUUUAUAGCAGAUGAUGGCAAAUGAUUGAUGAGAUGUUGAGCGUACGUCACAGCCUCAGUCCAAAACUUUCUAUCUAAUCCAGCAUUAGAUAACAUACAUCAAACUUUCUCCACAAGCGUUCGAUUCAUACGCUCUGCCACCCCAUUCUGUUGCGGUGUUCCACCUACGGUGAAGUGCCUUACUAUGCCACAAUCUUGGCAUAUCUUCAGGAAAGGAUCGCUUUUAUAUUCUCCACCGUUGUCUGAUCGGAGAACCUUAAUCUUCCUUCCUGUCUGAUUUUCAACUUUAGUUUUCCACUUAAGGAAAACUUCAAGCACCUCAUCUUUGUUCUUCAUAGGAAACACCCAAACUCGUCUGAAAAAAUCAUCAAUAAAGGUGACAAAAUAACGUCUUCCUCCAAGUGAUGGAGUCUUGGACGGUCCCCAUACAUCAGAAUGCACAUAAUCCAGAAUACCUUUAGUAUUGUGAAUCCCAGUGCCAAAUUUCACCCUUCGUUGUUUUCCCAGAACACAAUGCUCGCAAAAUUCAAGUUUGCAAGUCUUUGUACCUUUCAAUAAUCCUUGCUUGGCUAGAGUUUGCAAGGAUUUUUCACCAGUAUGGCCCAAACGCAUAUGCCACAGCUGUGUUGCCUCAGCGUCCUUCUUGGUACUCGAAAUUGCUGCUGCUGUUGUCCCAACCACUAUACUACCUUGGUAGUAAUACAGAUUGUUCUUUCUUAUGCCUUUCAACAUCACCAAUGCUCCUGAAGUUGCUUUAAGAACUCCAUCUCGUAUUGUCACAACUAGGCCUUCAGAUUCUAACGACCCCAAAGAGAUGAGAUUCUUCUUCAACUUUGGGACAUAUCGUACAUCCCGCAAAAUUCUAGUAGAUCCAUCAUGACUCCUCAGUUUAAUUGAACCUAUCCCGGCUAUUUUACAUGUGUUAUCAUUACCCAUGUAAACAACCCCUUCAUCUAGUUUUUGAAAUUCAAAGAACCAUUCCCGAAUGGGACACAUAUGGUAGGAACAACCAGAAUCCAUGAUCCACUCAUCUGCAUAUAAUGUUGAAGAUGUCAUACUAAGAGAAAAGUCUGACUCUGCUUCACUAUUGCAUUCUGCAACAUUUGCAUCUUGCGGAGUCUUCCAUUUUUUCUUCAAUUUUGGACAAUCUUUCUUCCAAUGUCCUUUUUCUUUGCAAAAAGAACAUUCAUCUUUGGCAACAGCUCGACCUUUGGACUUUCUUCUCUUCCCCUUAGACUGACUUUGCUGACGACCUCUUGUUACCAAUGCUUCCACUGCUGCUUCACCUGAACCUUUCAACUUAUCCUUUCGGCGUAGUUCAUAGCUAUACAAUGCAGCAGUUACUUCAUUGAAAGUUACUUCCGAUUUUCCAUGAAGUAGAGUAGUUUCAAGGUACUCAAACUCCUCAGGAAGCGAUCCCAACAACAUUAACGCCAAGUCUUCGUCUUCAAAAGUCACAUCCAAAUUCAACAAAUCAGCCACCAGCUGAUUAAAAUUGGUAAUGUGCUCGUUCAUCGUGGUACCAGGAACAUAAUUGAAACGAAACAGUCUUUUCUUCAUAUGCAACUUAUUUUGACUGUUCUUCUUCAAGAAUUUCUCCUCCAAUGCUUUCCACAAUUUACUUGCAGAAGUCUCUUUACUGAAUGUAUACUUCUGCUCUCUGGAAAGACAUGAUCGAAUUGUACCACAUGCCAAUCGGUUGAUGGUCUUCCAUUCUUUAUCAUCAACCCCUUCUGGUUUUUCUUCCUCAAUAGCAAUAUCUAGACCCUGUUGAAAGAGGGCAUCUAGAAGCUCACUUUGCCACAUGCCGAAAUGACCUGUUCCAUCAAAAAUUUCCACUACAAAUCUCGUAUUUGCAGUUCCAAUCCUUGGCAAAAUGUACGAAGUGGAAGUUGUUGAUAUGGAAGGUUUUUCUUCUGUCAUUUUUGCCAUAGCUUCUACUUAAUAGCCACCAAAUGCAGAAUACCCACAAGCUUUAGGAAAUGUUUCUGAUGUGUAAGAUCAGACUAAGCUGCAAACACAGAGCAUACUACAAAACCUUGGCUCUGAUACCAAUUGUUGCGGAAGCGACGAUAAUAUUAAUAACAAUAUUAUCAGAAAUAUUUAGAUAAUUAUUAUGCCAACAAUUAUACUAAGAAAAUUCCCAGUUAAAUUGGAGGGGUCACAAAUGGUCCCGCUUAAAACCCAACAACUAGACAGAACUCACUUAGAUAUUUAUAGCAAUAAUAACUAAAUAUUUCUGAUAAUAUUGUUAUUAAUAUUAUCGUCGCUUCCGCAACAAGAUCAGCAUUCACUAAAUCCUAGAAUUAUAUCAUCCAUGGGCUCUGAAGCAGAAUCUCAAAGCACUAAGGCGAAGACACUAACCUGCAAAACCAAAGGGAUCGGCUCCUUGUUACAUUAUUUCGGGAAUCAUGAUUGAAGAUGGCAUUUGAAACUCCAUGACAGCAAAGUUACAGUGUCCAACUCCAAACCACCAGAACCAACUACAGAAGCCAUUUUUGAUACCAUGCCACAAUGUCCUACUUCUGCAUCAAAUUACAACCUCAAAUACUUCUCACAACCUUAGUCCAUUAUUCUGCCACAGUGUUUAAAAAGUGCAUCUUUCCUAAAGGUUACUGAGUUAUUAAACAAACUGAAACUAAUCGGUAGAUCACAAAUGGUUUCUUAUCCGGCUAACCAUGACCCAUCAGGUCAUCUCAAUAAGCAUAAUCAUUUCACACUGUCCUCAGUGCUCCACAGCUCAUCUUUAUGUUAUUUUGACUCUUCAUUUUUCUUUAAAUACCAUGUGUAUAAGGAUAUGAUCCUCCAAGCACCCUCUAGCUACAUGGAGAAACUUACAUACCCAUGUUGGAUGUGUACUUGUGUCAGACAUUGACACGAGUCUGAGUUAGCAUAGAUUCAUCCUUCUAAAGAUCGAACUCCUCAUAUAAGCAAACUACUGAAUCCUGAUAACUUCAAGUUAUUAAGAAAAAACAUACAAAGACAUUCUAAAAGCUUUCCUGUAGUUUAAUUAGAUUAAAAUAUUAUCCCAAUUGUUAGAAACAACUAACAUGAUUGUUUAUAUACCAUUUAUCCACUUAUAAAAUGUAAGAUACCAAAGCAAUUUUGAAGCACCACACCUCCUUUAGUUUAAAAGAACAUUUUGGUGGCUGGUCCUUUCUUUCAGAUUUCCAUGAAUUGAAUGAACACUUCAUUAGAAGCAAGGGGUCAUCUAGCAUCUAAUGGGACAUGAACUUACCUUUGACAAUCUAUGAUGACAUGAAGUUUUUAGUUUUUACAAUAGGGACAGCCUGAAAACCACCAAAGGGGGUUUUAUUGCAGUUUAUACUCUUAUGAUUUAUGAAGAACGGAUUUUCCUAAAUGUUCUUUUUUACACAGAAGAGUUGACCAUUCUAAAGCAAAGCAUAAUUUGAAUGCUUUCUUGUCUAAGAUGGAAAAAGCACAGCCAUGAAUGGGUCCAUUGCUUCAAUUCACUUCCGUUACUGCAGGAUUAACAAAACAAAGUAGCAAAGCCUGGACCCAAGUUAUAAUUGAAUGCGUAAAAUACUCAAGGAAAGUUUCCACCGAUAGCCAAAUAAGCUUUUAUAUGGAUUCAGAAUUGCCUCCACAAAAAUAGAAAGCAUGUUUUGGUAUCACGUUAACAUGAAAAGUAGGAGAUGCAAUGCAAGAUUAAUUGUGAAGUUGUAUCCCUGGUUCCCCUACUUCACUAAAAUGUGCUAAAAACAGCCUAAAUUGUAUCAUUUAUGGAAUAAGUUACCAAACUUGCAUAAGCACAACAUCAAAGAAGCUUUCAAUUCUCCAGAUAUGAUAAAAAGAGCACACAUAAACUGAAAAGAAGAAUAAAAUUAUCCCAUACCCGAUGAGUUCCUAAUAAUCAACUGUUCUUUGAAGCCAUGACUUUUCUGGCAGCCAUACCCUUCCUAGCAGCCCUGGCAUUAUCAUAUUCAAACUUCAACACAUCUGAUAUAUGAGAAGUAUCCUUGACAUAAAAAAAACCUCCCAAGGGCACUCUCUUCAAUCAAAGGAAAAUAACAGAAAAGCUUAGAGUCACCAGCCAAAACGAAACCCCACCAAGAAAAGUCCCCAAAGCAGCUCCAGCGAAAAACAGGGCCACAGUAUGGUAACCGAAAUAAACCCUGGAAUACAUAGUCAAAACAGCCGAAGACCAAGGCAAAAACAAAGCAGCCCACUUGGUUGUGACUUUCCAAAUCCCACCAAUCCCCUUACAAGUCAAAAGGGUAAAAUAAACCGUACAAAAGAACAUGUAUUGACAGUGACUUGAAGGCCAACCAUGAGAAUCACACAUUUCUAAUAGCGCACAGGUUUCAGGCCUGGCUUGUUGAACGGAUUUCUUGAUCAGUUCAUUAAUGAAGUGAGAUAUUAAAAGCCCUAAUCCAAAGAACAUUCCUUGAAGCUCUCUACGGAAGUAGAAAUGAGAAACAAAGCCACCAAGGGAAAUGAAAACAGGGACUAACGAAACCCAGGCUAAGAAAUGGCCGAGUUGAUCACGUCUUUGAUACCUGACAUGGGUUAAAGUCACGGCUUUUAAUGGAUGAUCAGCUCUCAUGGUGAAAAUUCAAGUCAAUCGGAGAAACUAAAAAUAAGGUCAGUUUCAGGUGGGAUGUAGUUUGGGAGGAUUGGGUUUUAACUGUUGUUUCAGUUCAGUGUUUGUUCCUCGAGAAACUGCCGGUAAUGAAAAAGGUGUGAGUGAGCCGUUGAUAGACGCAUACACCGACGAAGAAACAAUACACGCGGGAAUAAAGGAACACACACGUUGAAAGAUCCCAUCUUGUUUUUUUCUCAAAAGGUUAGGGGUAUUAUUGGUUUUCCAACAUGAAGAGAACGUCAAAUUAACGUCUAGUCUGAGAUGUCUGUCGUGAGCCGUUGGAUUAACUGCAAUCCGACGGAUGAGAAAGAAACCCUAGUUGAGCCAAAGCUGAGACUGUCGCUGGCUACUUAAGUUAAAGCAGCCUGUUGCUCUCGCCUUCUCUUGCUCUCACUCAACGCUCUCUCAUCCUGCUUCUGGUCAAGCCAAUCUCAAAAGACUCCCCUUUUAGCUCACAGGUAGUAACCCAUUUACAACUUAUAAUUAUCUCUCAAAUGUUAUUGCUUUGAUUCGAAGAAAAACGUGGUCUGAUUUGUUGGUAGCUGAAAUAUUAUAUCUGAUUUGCUGAAAUAGUUCUCAUACGAUUAAUUUUUUUGCGUGUAGUUUCGGAUCUGAUUCUUUGUUUUUUUGGUUGUGUUUUUAGAUUUCAUUCAUGCAUGUACGUUUUGAACUCUGAAAUUUAUUUUUCUGAGCAAAUAAUUCCUGUGAUAACUGGUUUAUUGAAGCAAAUGCUGCCUAAGGGAAAUUUUUUAACGAAAAUAUUUAAAAUUGUCGGGGAUUAUUUUCUUAGGCUCGUUUGUCUUCGAUGGCCAUGUUUGACUGGCUUCAUGGGAACUUCAUGGGAAAGGAUAAGUUAAGAUCUAGUGGCUGUAGUUCAUUGGAAUGAACUCCAUAUCUAUGGAGGAACUGGGCUCGAAUCCCAGCGGCCACGUUUUGUCAAUGUUGGAUCUGUUGAAUUUAAAUGUGGCUUGAUUUUCUUUUUCGAAAUUGACUUGAACUAUUCUUCAUAAACAAUAAAAGUGGGUCUCGGAUUCAUUGUUUAUUGUUCACAAGAUGUUGGUCUUCUUGUGUGAUUUUGACUUGGAAUUAUGUAUUGAGCUUAUUUUAUGAAUAUGUUUCUUCUUGAUUUUUAGCUCUCUCGAGUUCUGUAAUGGGUAAGGAGAAGGUUCACAUCAACAUUGUGGUCAUCGGCCAUGUCGACUCUGGGAAGUCUACAACCACUGGUCAUUUGAUCUACAAGCUUGGUGGUAUUGACAAGCGUGUGAUUGAGAGGUUUGAGAAGGAGGCUGCUGAGAUGAACAAAAGGUCAUUUAAGUAUGCAUGGGUGCUUGACAAGCUUAAGGCCGAACGUGAACGUGGUAUUACCAUCGAUAUUGCCCUCUGGAAGUUUGAAACUAC
This 42648-nucleotide long non-coding RNA is filed under the name Gossypium barbadense (sea-island cotton). RNAcentral's name for it is "long non-coding RNA (GBAR_LNC003306)". The record is from RNAcentral. Lineage: Eukaryota; Viridiplantae; Streptophyta; Magnoliopsida; Malvales; Malvaceae.